Molecule: ribosomal RNA, 490 nt
Filed under: uncultured bacterium
Lineage: Bacteria
Description: partial 16S ribosomal RNA
Rfam family: Bacterial small subunit ribosomal RNA
Source: RNAcentral
GAUGAACGCUAGCUACAGGCUUAACACAUGCAAGUCGAGGGGCAGCAUGGUCUUAGCUUGCUAAGGCCGAUGGCGACCGGCGCACGGGUGAGUAACACGUAUCCAACCUGCCGUCUACUCUUGGACAGCCUUCUGAAAGGAAGAUUAAUACAAGAUGGCAUCAUGAGUCCGCAUGUUCACAUGAUUAAAGGUAUUCCGGUAGACGAUGGGGAUGCGUUCCAUUAGAUAGUAGGCGGGGUAACGGCCCACCUAGUCUUCGAUGGAUAGGGGUUCUGAGAGGAAGGUCCCCCACAUUGGAACUGAGACACCGUCCAAACUCCUACGGGAGGCAGCAGUGAGGAAUAUUGGUCAAUGGGCGCAGGCCUGAACCAGCCAAGUAGCGUGAAGGAUGACUGCCCUAUGGGUUGUAAACUUCUUUUAUAAAGGAAUAAAGUCGGGUAUGUAUACCCGUUUGCAUGUACUUUAUGAAUAAGGAUCGGCUAACUCCGUG